GCCCUGGCCCCAGGCUUCUCUUGUCCAAGCCCCAGAAAGAAGAGACAGCUGGGUCACAGAAGAGGGUCUAAGGGACAAAUU
This 81-nucleotide microRNA precursor is filed under the name Chlorocebus sabaeus (green monkey). RNAcentral describes it as "miRNA (ENSCSAG00000026962.1)". Lineage: Eukaryota; Metazoa; Chordata; Mammalia; Primates; Cercopithecidae. The record is from RNAcentral.